RNAcentral lists this ribosomal RNA (429 nucleotides) under Chloroflexota bacterium. RNAcentral describes it as "Chloroflexi bacterium partial 16S ribosomal RNA". It matches the Rfam family "Bacterial small subunit ribosomal RNA", at positions 355 to 776 of the family's 1533-position model. Lineage: Bacteria; Bacillati; Chloroflexota. The record is from RNAcentral.
UAGGGAAUCUUCGGCAAUGGACGAAAGUCUGACCGAGCAACGCCACGUGAGUGAAGAAGGUUUUCGGAUCGUAAAACUCUGUUGUUAGAGAAGAACAAGGACGUUAGUAACUGAACGUCCCCUGACGGUAUCUAACCAGAAAGCCACGGCUAACUACGUGCCAGCAGCCGCGGUAAUACGUAGGUGGCAAGCGUUGUCCGGAUUUAUUGGGCGUAAAGCGAGCGCAGGCGGUUUCUUAAGUCUGAUGUGAAAGCCCCCGGCUCAACCGGGGAGGGUCAUUGGAAACUGGGAGACUUGAGUGCAGAAGAGGAGAGUGGAAUUCCAUGUGUAGCGGUGAAAUGCGUGGAUAUAUGGAGGAACACCAGUGGCGAAGGCGGCUCUCUGGUCUGUAACUGACGCUGAGGCUCGAAAGCGUGGGGAGCAAACAGG